AGAGUGAACGCUGGCGGCAGGCCUAACACAUGCAAGUCGAACGGCAGCACAAGGGAGCUUGCUCCCUGGGUGGCGAGUGGCGGACGGGUGAGGAAUACGUCGGAAUCUGCCUAUUUGUGGGGGGAUAACGUAGGGAAACUUACGCUAAUACCGCAUACGACCCCAUGCCGAGAGGUGCGGGGUGAAAGCGGAGGACCUUCGGGCUUCGCGCAGAUAGAUGAGCCGACCUCGGAUUAGCUUGUUGGCGGGGUAACGGCCCACCAAGGCGACGAUCCGUAGCUGGUCUGAGAGGAUGAUCAGCCACACUGGAACUGAGACACGGUCCAGACUCCUACGGGAGGCAGCAGUGGGAAUAUUGGACAAUGGGCGCAAGCCUGAUCCAGCCAUGCCGCGUGUGUGAAGAAGGCCUUCGGUUAGUAAGCUACUUUUCGACCCGGAAACGAAAGCGUUACGGUUAACGUACCCUGGAGUCCUGACGUACCGGAAGAAUAACGCACCGCUAACUCGUCGC
Molecule: ribosomal RNA, 511 nt
Filed under: uncultured soil bacterium
Lineage: Bacteria
Description: bacterial SSU rRNA
Rfam family: Bacterial small subunit ribosomal RNA
Source: RNAcentral